This 65-nucleotide transfer RNA is filed under the name Pachybrachis terminalis. Its description in RNAcentral is "tRNA-Ile". Lineage: Eukaryota; Metazoa; Arthropoda; Insecta; Coleoptera; Chrysomelidae. The record is from RNAcentral.
UGAGAAGUGCCUGAUUAAAGGGCAAUCUUGAUAGGAUUGAUUAAGUGAAAAUUUCACCUUCUCAA